UACGGAGGAUCCGAGCGUUAUCCGGAUUUAUUGGGUUUAAAGGGUGCGUAGGCGGACUGUUAAGUCAGAUGUGAAAGUUUACGGCUCAACCGUGAAAUUUCAGUUGAUACUGUUGUUCUUGAGUAUACAUGCGGUGGCCGGAAUUUGUCGUGUAGCGGUGAAAUGCUUAGAUAUCACAAAGAACGCCAAUUGCGAAGGCAGCUCCCUGGGCUAUAACUGACGCUGAUGCACGAAGGUGUGGGUAUCAAACAGG
Molecule: ribosomal RNA, 253 nt
Filed under: uncultured bacterium
Lineage: Bacteria
Description: partial 16S ribosomal RNA
Rfam family: Bacterial small subunit ribosomal RNA
Source: RNAcentral